Molecule: ribosomal RNA, 460 nt
Filed under: uncultured bacterium
Lineage: Bacteria
Description: partial 16S ribosomal RNA
Rfam family: Bacterial small subunit ribosomal RNA
Source: RNAcentral
CCUACGGGAGGCAGCAGUGAGGAAUCUUGGGCAAUGGGCGCGAGCCUGAACCAGCCAAGUAGCGUGAAGGAUGACUGCCCUACGGGCUGUAAACUUCUUUUAUAAAGGAAUAAAGUGCGGCACGUGUGCCUCUUUGUAUGUACUUUAUGAAUACGGAUCGGCUAACUCCGUGCCAGCAGCCGCGGUAAUACGGAGGAUCCGAGCGUUAUCCGGAUUUAUUGGGUUUAAAGGGAGCGUAGAUGGGUUGUUAAGUCAGUUGUGAAAGUUUGCGGCUCAACCGUAAAAUUGCAAUUGAUACUGGCAGCCUUGAGUACAGUUGAGGUAGGCGGAAUUCGUGGUGUAGCGGUGAAAUGCUUAGAUAUCACGAAGAACUCCGAUUGCGAAGGCAGCCUACUAAACUGCGACUGACAUUGAUGCUCGAAAGUGUGGGUAUCAAACAGGAUUAGAUACCCCUGUAGUC